AGCCACCUGUGAGGAACAAGGAGGGUCAGAGGUCCAUCCAAGGAGCUGCUUUGCCGAACACAAUAGAAAGAAAUAAAAGGAGUGGGUCGUUCCCGAAAACGAGGAAACGGAUACGCACACACUGUAACCUGCUGUGUCUAAUACAAAAGGCCGAGGGGGAAGACAGCAGACCUGCAGAGGCGCUGGUGGUGAACACGGAUGAACGUGAAAGGAGCAGCACUGUGGACUCACGAGUGUUCUGCCAUUCAGUGCACCACAACGCAAGGUGGCACUGAGCGACGCCACAGCAACUGUCACUGGGGCUAUCUCGGCAGAGGGCACCACCCGCCUGGCAAGAACACGGUACUAGGAUUCAAGCCCAAGGAUUCCAGUCCCGGUGGAAACGGACGGGGUCACUUCCUAUGCUUUUGUCAGUUCUGUGAUAGGAUGACCCCGUGUCUAGAAAAAGUGGGAACUGAACUCCGAAAGGCUUAGCUUUGAAAACUAUUAAACUACACAGUAGCAGGUC
Myotis lucifugus (little brown bat) is the source of this 508-nucleotide long non-coding RNA. RefSeq lists it as uncharacterized. The transcript is spliced from 2 exons. The record is from RefSeq and is a predicted model, not a curated record. NCBI's taxonomy places the organism in Eukaryota, Metazoa, Chordata, Mammalia, Chiroptera, Vespertilionidae.